CCCAUUGAUAACUAAUAUUUUGUGAGGAGUAAGGAGAGAAAAAUCUUGAUCGCUAUUACAACUAUCAUUCAUAUCAACAAUGACUUCCGCGGGUAUGAAUUCGUUUCUAUUAAUUAAUUGUUUGGUGAUUCUUGAUUCUUGAUAUGAUUACAAAUAAAUUUCAACAAUUGGUAUUAGUGUCUAAUGCUAAGAUCAAAAUCGUAUAUAAAACUAAUAUUCUUUCUUCAAUUUUGGCCGAAUAAUUACAAAGUUUUUACUGCCACACAUGGUAACCCAAUGACACGCAUACGCUCACUUUCUCUAUCUAGAUAUUCAAAUAGCUACUCUUCUCUUUUGGAAAUUGCAUCAAUUAAUGAUCUCUCUCUCUCUCUCUCUCUCUCUCUCUCUCUCUCUAUAUAUAUAUAUAUAUAUAUAUAUAGACACAAACUGCUCAAUGAAUAUUGUAUGAGAAGAGUCACGAAAAUUCUAAUUCACAUAUGCAUGCAAUUCUCAUGCUCUCGUGGGUCCUUAUUUAUUCCAGUGAUUUUGUAUUUAAUUCUUUGUUUAAAACUAGAAUGUAGAUCCAUAUAUUUGAAAUUUUUUUUAUGGGAUUUUGGAGUUCUAACCUUAUCUUUGUACUAAUCGACAUGUCGUAAAGGUUUGUAUUGUUGAGUUUUUCUUUUCUUUCUUCAUUGAUGAUUUAUCUGCUUGGUAGAUUGCCGCCGCUACUUGGCGCUACUUGGCGGCUUGUGGUUUUCGGUUUCUAAGUGAUGAAGAUGGGGGUUGUGAUGUAAAUAACAUACUUGUGAGACCCCGCAUGCAAUUAGAGAAAAGGGCCUAUUUUGCAAAUAUUAAGAGAAGGACAUGUUAUGUAAUAUGUAUAAUCAGGGUCAAAGUGCAAUUUUCGAAAGGAGUAUUAAAUUUAAAUUUGGAAAGGGGUUUUAAAUUGGAUUUUUAAAGUUUCGACUCUAAAAUUUCAAUUUUGACUCAAAUUAAAAUUUUAUUUAAAAUUGACCUGUUUAAUAUAAUAAUAAUAAUAAUAAUAAUAAUAAUAAUAAUAAUAAUAAUAAUAAUAAUAAUAAUAAGAUAUUUCACGACUUCUAUAUUCCUGUCAAAAUGUUUAUUUAUUUAAAUGUUGAUAUUGUUCGUCAGUAUAAAUUUUUAUUUUCAUUUUUCACAUAUAUUGAAAUUUUGUUGCCCAUUUCGUCUCUCAAUCACAUAUGAAUUUUGUCCUUCAUUGAUUGACGAUUAUGAUUUGUUGCAUAAUUAUUAUUCUGUGAUUAAAUUUUUCAUAGGCUUUAAAACAUUUCUUAUUUUCCCACUAAAAGAGAAAUAUUUUGAAAUAAAAAUGGGUGGUAGCUGCCAAAGUGACACUCUCAUUAUUGUUUGUUUGAUUUUCUCUACAAUAAAAAUAUAUAUAUAUAUUUUUUUUGUGCAACAAUUUUGAUCUAUUGCAUAUAAUAUCUUGCCCAAAGGUGUUAUUAUAUGUGAUGUUUUGAAAAAUGGCAUAAGGUAGUUAACGAGUUUACCUUGAUUUAGAAAUUUCCUUCUACCCAAAGGUGUUGGUAUUUCGAAAAUCAAUGUGAUUUUGUUAACUAGUUAUAUGAUGUGUUUUAAGAGUCUCUUAUAGUAUGUUAUAUUGUCGGCCCAAAGGUGACUUUAUAAUGAUGCAUCUAGGCUCUUACAGUAAUAAAAUUCAUAUGAUUUUGAUUUAAAUUACAGAUUAUCUAAUUAAUAACCCAUAUUAAUUAGUUGGAUAUUACAUCAUUCAUUUGAUUGCAUGCAUUACGUAUGGAUGAUAUUAAGAGUGAUAUUUUAUGUUUUCACAGUUUAUAAUGCCUCAUCUUUUUCGAAUCAAUUGUCUGCUAUUAAAAUCUUGACAGAGAAUAACUAUGUGAGAUGGAAACGAGACGUAGAAAUAACACUUGAUCUUUCGGGUUUGGAUUUUGCAAUGGAGAAAAAACUUGAGAAACCCACAGAGAAGAGUACCUUUGAAUAUGUAGCCAAGUAUGAAAAGUGGAAAAGGGUUAACAAACUCUGUUUGAAAAUCAUUAAGCGAUCGAUAUCUGAUUCUAUUUUAGGUGUCAUCCCUGAUAAUGAAAAUGCCAAAAGUUUUAUGGAUGCCAUAGGAGAAAAAUUUGUUGAGUUUGAUAAAGUCGAAAUUGGGGAUCUGAUGGAUAAAUUGAUGAGCACGAGAUAUGAUGGUAUAAGUGGUGUUAGGGAGCAUGUCAUGAAAAUGAUAAAUAUAUCAUCUAAGUUAAAGGCUCUUGACAUUCCCAUUGCUGAGCCUUUCCUGGUCUAUCAUGUUUUGAAUAGCCUUCCUAUCAAGUUUAAUCAAUUUAAGGUUGCUUACAAUGCUCAACGAGAUAAAUGAAAUUUGAAUGACCUCAUAGAAGUGUGUGCCCAAGAAGAGUAUAGGAUGUGCCGUGAAACUGUUGAAACUGUGCAAUUAGCUUUUCAGUCAUCACAGAAUAAGGGGCCUUCUCAUAAUCAUAAACUUAAGUUUCAUAAGGGUAAUAAGUCCCACCGAAAUCAGCAGAAUAAAAAUUUUAGUAGUCCUAAAGGAGUUAUAAAGAAAAAUGAUUAAUGCAAGUUCUGUAAAAAGAAGGGUCACUACAGAAAGACUGUUUUAAGUUCAAGACUUGGUUGGAAAAGAAGAAGAGUUCUCCAGGUAUUCCCUUGGCUUUAGUUUGUUUUGAGUCUUCUUUAGUAGACGUGCCUUUGAAUUCUUGGUGGUUAGACUCACGAGCUAGUAUUCAUAUUGCGAAUUCCUUACAGGGGUUCAUAAGAAAACGGAGGCCAAGUGAGAAUGAAGUAAGCUUGAGCGUUGCAAAUGGAUUUCAAGUAAAGGUUGAAUUCAUAGGAGUAGUGAAGUUAAUUUUAGAGUCUGGUUUUUAUCUUAUUUUGGAAAAUACAAUUUAUGUAUCGCAGAUGAGACGGAAUUUAAUUUCUAUACCGAAACUUGAUGCUUGUGGUUUUACAUUUAAUUUUGGUAAUGAAAUGGUUAAGUUAUUUAAUGAUUCUCGUUUGAUUGGGAAUAUCAUUUUAUGUGAUGAUUUAUAUAAAUUAUCGUUGGCUUCUUUUGGUGAUGUCUCAUGUGUUACCAAUGUAUAAAAAAAAAAGAACUUUAAUUCAUGAAUCAUCCUCUAUGUUGUGGCAUAAGCGUUUGGGUCAUAUCUCUAAGGAUAGAAUGGAAAGAUUAGUAGAAGAUGAGGUACUUCCUUCCUUAGACUUCUCCGAUUUUGACACCUGUAUAGAUUGUAUAAGAGGAAAGUUAACUAAGUCUACGAGGAAGCGUUCAGCUAAAAGUAAUGGAAUUUUGGACUUAAUUCACACUGCUAUCAGUGGACCUUUGCCUUUCACUAUAUGCGGGAAUAAAUAUUUCAUAACUUUCAUUGAUGAUUUAUCACGAUAUGGAUAUGUUUACAGUUAACGAUAAAUCACAUACACUUGAGAAAUUCAAAGUUUUCAAACUGGAAGUAGAGAAACAAUGUAGAAAAAGUAUCAAAGUUGUGAGAUCUGACCGAGGUGGUGAGUACUAUGGGAAAUAUGACGAAUCUGGUCAAAAUAUGGGUGAUUUUGCAAAGUUUUUACAAAAGUGUGGAAUAGUGCCCCAAUACACCAUGCCAAGGACACCUGAGCAGAAUGAUGUUUUUGAAAGAGUAAUCAAACUCUAAAAGAUAUGGUUAGAAGUAUGAUGAGUAGAACAAAUUUGCCUGAAUAUUUGUGGGGUGAAGCCUUGAAAACAGCUAUUUAUAUUUUGAAUAGAGUUCCAAGUAAAGUUGUUGCAAAGACACCUUUUGAAUUAUGGAUAGGACGUAAGCCAAGUAUGGCUCACUUUAAAGUUUAGGGAUGUCCAGCUGAGGUUACGAUUUAUAAUCCAUUUGAAAAAAAAUUAGACCCUAAAUCAACUCCUGGCUACUUUAUUGGGUAUCCGGAUAAAUCAAAAGGAUAUAAAUUUUACUGUCCAAAUCGCGGCACUAGAAUUGUGGAGUCCAUUACUGCUAAGUUUCUGGAGAACGAUUUUGGAAAUAAUGGGAGUUCCACGUUAAGAGAAAUUCAUGUUGAACCUAAUCAAGUUGUUGUUCUAGUUCUUGUCAUACAGGAAAGAGUUGGUUCUCAACCAAUUGAAGUUGUUAAUGAAGAACUGAGGAACCAAGAGGAGUCUCCAAUUCCUCAAACAACGAUUGAAUCGGUUUCUGAGCCACAAGUUAGGAAAUCACAAAAGGAAAGAAGAUUUGCAUUGCCCAGUGAUUAUAUUGCAUAUUUAUUAGAGAGCGAUUUUAAUAUUGGGCAUAUUGUUGAUCCGUAACUUAUAACCAAGUAUUGACAAGUCCUCAUGCAGAUAAAUAGAUAGCUGCCAUGGAAGAUGAAAUGAAUUCCAUGGAAAGGAAUAAAGUUUGGGAUCUUGUUGAACUUCCUCCAGAUACUAAGGCUAUAGAUAACAAGUGGAUCCUCAAAAGGAAAUUAGAUUCAAAAGGAAAUGUUUAACGAAAGAAAGCAAGAUUGGUUGCAAAAGGUUUCACUCAACGAGAGGGCAUUGAUUAUGUUGAAACCUUCUCCCCUGUUUCGUCAAAAGAUUCUUUUCGAAUUAUCAUGGCUGUUGUGGCACACUACAAUUUGAAGCUUCAUCAAAUGGAUGUUAAGACAACAUUUUUGAAUGGAGAUCUUUCUGAAAUGAUUUAUAUGAAACAACAUGAAGGUUUUGUUGUGAAAUGAAAAGAGAACUUGGUAUGUAAGUUAAACAAAUCAUUAUAUGGACUUAAACAAGCAUCUCGACAGUGGUAUUUGAAAUUUGAUGAGGUUAUGACCUCUCUUGGUUUUGUUGAAAAUACUAUUGAUCCAUGCAUUUAUCUUAAAAUUAGUGGGAGAAAUUUUAUUUUCCUUGUACUAUAUGUUGAUGAUAUUCUACUUGCUAGCAGUAACUUAGGGUUGCUUCAUGAGAUAAAGAAAAUGUUGUCUGCUAAUUUUGAGAUGAAAGAUCUUGGAGAAGCUUCCUAUAUACUUGGCAUUGAAAUAUAUCGUGAUAGAAAUCGUGACUUAUUGGGACUUUCUCAGAAAGCUUAUAUACGACGUGUUCUAGAAAGAUUUAAAUGCAAAAUUGUGCACCUGGUGAUGUACCUAUCAUAAAAGGAGAUAAAUUUAACAAAACUCAAUGUCCAAGAAAUGAGCUAGAAAGGGAAUCUACGAAGAUGAUUCCAUAUGAUAGUCCUAUGGGGAGCUUGAUGUAUGCUCAAGUUUGCACUAGACCGGAUAUAGCUUAUGCAGUAAGUGUCCUUAGCAGAUUUCAGUCUAAUCCAGGACAAGAGCAUUGGAAAGCAAUUAAGAAAGUUAUGAGAUAUUUGAAGAAAACUGAAGGUUAUAUGCUUACAUUUUAGCGUACAAAUCAUCUUGAGGUGGUAGGAUAUUCAGAUUCUGAUUUUGCUGGAUAUCAACAUGAUUUGAAAUCAACCUCAGGUUGAAUUUUUACAUUAGCCGAUGGUGCCAUUUCUUGGAAAAGUGCUAAAGAGACUCUAAUGACAUCUUCUACUAUGCAAGCUGAAUUUGUGGCAUGUAUGAGGUUACAGUCCAAGCCAUUUGGUUAAGAAAGUUGUUGAUUCCAUCUCAAGACCGAUCACUAUUUACUGUGAUAACAGUGCAGUAGUAUUCUUUUCAAAGAAUAAUAAAAGUUCUGGUGGAUCAAAACAUAUUGAUAUCAAAUAUUUUUUUGUUAGAGACAGAGUCAAAGAAGGGCAGAAGAAAAUAGAGCAUAUCAAUACAGAGGCGAUGGCUGCAGAUCCCUUGACUAAGGGACUCACUCCAAAAGUCUUUAAGACACAUGUUACUAAUAUGGGUAUUGUGGAAACAUUUGAUAUUUUUGGUUAGUGUGAGUUAUUUAUGUAAAGAACUACGUUUUGAGUUUGAUCCCUUUACAGGGUACGUAGGCAACCCAUAGGUUUUCGGGUACAGUCCCUUCUGACAAUAAAAUAUUUUCCCCUAUCCAUGGAUUAUUUUGACCAUGCAUUUGACUUAUAUCUUUUAUUAUAAUAUUAUUGUGAUCUUGAGAUAUGACAUGUAAAGACAUAAGAUGAGUCUCUUUUGGAGACAUGUGGCUUCAUUUUGAUCAGAAGCAUUAUGAGGACCGAUAUGAAUUAGCAUAGUUUUGAUCACAUCUGGUUGCUAAGUUCAUACCGCAUACUAACACAUUAGUUGGAGGAUGGGGAUCCAUGUCGAUAAGGAUGUUGACAUUUGUCGCUGUGGGAUGAUCUUACAUUGGUUAAUUGGUGUAAUGACUUCCAUGUUCGGUGUUAAUAUUCUUGUUGGAUUGGAUCAUAUUGCGUAAGGUGUCAUCAUUGGAGCUAUACUUUUGUGGCCACCUAUGUAAUCUAACCCGAGUGUUAAAACUUUGUUAUAGUAAUCAAAUGUUUGCUCAAGUAGGAGAAUGUUGGAAUAAUUAAUAGUUCCAUAUUGGGCUUCACAUUCGAUUGCAAAUUUUACGGGUUAGAUGUAUGGCUCAUAAUGAUAUUUGUGUUUGAGCCAAAUUUAUUAAGUGAUCAAUUGUGCCUUCUACACCUUACGGGUUGUAAUUAAUUUGAUGUGGUAAUUUAAAGUAUGUGGGCCGAAAAUAAACCCUAAUUAGAAUUCUAAUCGUAAUGGGACGGCUCAAUUAUUUCCUAUAUAAAGGCUAGAUCCCCUCUCCUCUCCAUAUGUUUUUGGCUUGCCCUAUUGAUAGCUAAUAUUUUGUAAGGAGUAAGGAGGGGAAGAUCUUAGCCGCUAGUACAACUAUCAUUCAUAUCAACAAUGACUUCUGCAUGUAUGAAUUCAUUUCUAUUAAUUCAUUGUUUGGUGAUUCUUGAUUCUUGGCAUGAUUACAAAUAAAUUUCAACAUAAAAAAGAAGGGAACUUCCAACUCUAGACACAGCACAAUGAAAUUUGUGAUACUUGGCAGUAGAAGAUGAUGGCACAUCUGAAAUAGGAAAUUAGAUGACUCGGAAUAUCUUAAGCAGAUGUGUAAACAGGAAUUUGGAUUGUCCGAAUUCGAGUUACAUUGUAGUUGAUCGAUCAUUCUGCUACGGUAACUUGACUGCAUUUGUGUCGGUCUUUUUAAAAAAAAUUCAAAUGUUAUUAUUGUUAUUGUUAUUGUUAUUACUAUCACGAACAAGAUUAAUAAGAACUGUUAUUUGUUUACUAAGAAUUGGACACCAUCUGCUCUUGUGAAAUGGAAAUCUAGACUUCACAUACAUUUGAAUAUAAAUGUAUGUUUGAGCCACAUUAUUUUUGAAAAAUGUAUUUUGAAAUAGUAGAUUGAUGGAGAAUGUGUGGUUAAAAAAUAAGAAAAAAUUUUAGAUUUGCGUAUAGUAUUAUUUUAUUGAAAAAUGUGUGGUUGAAAUGAUAUCAAAUCACUAUUUAAUAAUGUAUUUUUUCAAAUUAAUGAGGCUCAAACAAGGCAAAAAUUUGUUUAUCAAUGAAUUAAUUAUAAUUAAUUAUUCAAAUGACCCACCUUUGAUGGUUUGUUAUACUUUUAGGCAACAUUUUUUAAUUGAGUAAUGUUCUUUAGCAUUACUGGUAUUUGACAUUAGUUUAGAUAGCACCAUGAUAUUAAAUUACAAAUUCAAUUAAAUAAAUGUAAUUAUGGUCCAUUUGAUAGGAGUUAUGAUAUGCUGACAUUGAGCCCUUGUUUGAUAAGGAUACAAAUUUAGAUUUUAAUCUAAAUCAAAAUCAAUAAUUAAUUUUAAUUACAUAUUUUAUGCGUCCCACAACUUUUUAAUCACACAUUAGAUCAACUUCUAUAAAUAUCUAAACGUGUAGUCAUCCCUUAUUGGAUAUCAAUUAAUUUUCAGAUGAAAUAAUUAAAUUGUGGUCCUACUAUGUUGAUGUGUCGAGCUUGUUAUACCUUCUAAGUUCUAAUUACCCGUUUUUCAGUUCAUUUCCAAGAAAGAAUUAGUAAAUAGUAAUUUGUCAUCUACACCAAUGACUUGUUGGUCCAAAUUAUUUUACUUAAUUGACUAGUUUUUCAUUUGAUCCUGGUCGACCUUCGACGUCGGAUUUGUACAAAUAAAGGUUAACAUUAAGGAACAAAACAGUCUCCUUGCAGGCAAAGUUGCUCUUAAACCCAAUUCUAGCCUUCAAAAAUUACACCGCAAGUCUCAACUGCCAAAGAACAGACAUGAACAAAGAACAUUGUAAAAGAUUAUAUUUGGAGAAACCAAAUUUCAGCCUGUGUUUGGGGAACCUGGUCAGGGAAUUUGGAACCAAGCUCCAGUUAUGAGAAAAUAAGAAAUGGGUCCAAACUCGGUCCUGCGAACAAUGCCACGAACGGGAGGGGACCCAUGCAGAGGCUGGCGAGGAGCAGUGGGAUGAGAAGAGAUUGGAGCUUCGAGGAUGUCAGAAGGCGGUUCAAGGACAGUAAAGAAUGAGAUGGUGUUUUAGAUUAUUGUGUCUUUAUUAAUGCAUUUCUCCAGUAUUUGGAGACUAAGAAACAAUGGUCGUCGUAAUCAUGUUUAAGUUUCUAACCAGAUGCUCGUGUAGGUGUUUGAAAACACACCAAUUGUAACUGCCUGGCA
RNAcentral lists this long non-coding RNA (8522 nucleotides) under Olea europaea subsp. europaea. Lineage: Eukaryota; Viridiplantae; Streptophyta; Magnoliopsida; Lamiales; Oleaceae. The record is from RNAcentral.